AUGACACAGACCCAGAGGAGCUGGAGGAUAGCCAUGACCUCAGGCGAGUGACUUCACUCCUCUGGGCCUUCCUUUCCUUGGCUAUAAAAAUGAUAGGAUCGGGGUAAAUAAACUUUAAGGUGUUUUCCAGUUCUAAAAUAUUAUAAUUCUAAGAGAAAAUAAGUUAGCUGGAUUGGGACAAAAAGAGCCAAUAUUUUUAUCACUUAGAGUAAAGCCAGUUGUCAGCCUCUUGUUUAUUAAAUGUUUGCAUGGCUCCUUCUCGCCCUCUGGGCUGGGUGUCAGGGGCACAGAUGAGUACAUUGUGGUCCUUGUCCUCAAGAAGCACACAGGCUGGGGUGCCGGGAGAGACAGGCGUGUAAACAGAUCAUUAAAAUGCAAUGUCGCAAGGGCUCUGGGAGAGUCACAGACAAGGAGCACAGGGCAGGAAGUGACUAACUCACCCUGGGAGACGUCUCACAGAAGAAGUACUGUUCAACACGAGCCUGGAAAGGUGAGUUCAAUAGAUCAUCUGUGAAGAUGGCCAAGUUUGAGAGAGGAAAAUCUGGACAGGAGAGAAAGCAUGUGUCAAAGGAGCCCAGAACGUUCCGAGAAAGGAAGUCUGAAAGAAGCAGCCACUUUCCACUGAGAGCCAGAAGCCAAAAUCCGAACUGUUGUCGUGAGGUCACAAGGGUGAUCUUAUAUACGGUGCCAUCUAUUCCAUCUCAGGCCAUUCCUGUGCAGCUGCUUCGAGCUAAAACUCCUCCACGCUCCACUUCUGAUUUUCCAGGGUUUCCCUGUCUGUCAGUUUCAGCCUGCCCCCUCCUGUUAUUUUUAGAUUUGAUUUUAGUCCUUAUAAAGGGCCAGGGGUGAGGAUAGGGAGAAAAUUUUUUUCAUUUUAAUUAAAAGCAGAUGACAAAGACAACUCAGUCAUGGAAAAUAACAGGAGUCACACUGUCUCUGGCUCCCAUUCGCGUAUUUCCUCCAUCAGCUGCAAGCGAGCAGAGAAGCAACAACGCUAAUUGAGUCUCCUCUGCCUUUUCCAGAAGACACACAUGAUCUAAGCAGAUCUCACCCGAGAUUCCGUUAGAGAGCUGCACGUGCUCUCCUUCCCUUUCCAUUCCCCCUCACAGAGUGAUUGCAUUUUAGAGCUGGCAGGCAGCUUCUGUGACUAUCUUCAUGUUACCAGGAGGAGCCCAGGGCCAAGCGAGGUCAAGGGAGGUGCCCGAAAAGGUCCAGCCUACUGAGGUCUCUCCAUUCCCACCUUCCAAGCGCUGAGCCUUGUCGAAUCCAUGUUUUUCAGCUGCCCAAAGAGUCCAAAUAGAGCAAGAGCUCCUUGAAGUGAGGGGCCCCAGCCUUGUGUGUUCUGUCCCUCAGUUCUCAGGACCUGCACAGGCAGGUGAAUGUGCACGGCGAAGCCGCUGCCUUUCACUCAUUCUUCCACACACUGUUGUUGCUGUUCUCCAACCUUCCGAUGAAUGUUUGUUUUUUCUCUCUCUGGACCAAUUUAGCCUUGUGCAUACUCUAUGAGCUUGGAUGUCUGCUUGCCUAUUAACUCAAAGACAGUUUAAUUCCAGAUUUUCUUCCAAGACUUCAUUUAGAUUCAGUCUUCAACGUCUCAUUAUUCAACAUGUUUACAGUUAGAUGUUCUAUUAUCAUAUAUAAUCAUUCGAAAGUACUAGUCUCUGUGUUCAGGUAACUCACAUGACACAGACUACAGCAUCUGUUGUGGACACAGCAUGGAAUUCAGUUUUGUAUUGUCAAACUCUUGCCUUUCUUCCUGGUUUCUCCAAAUGUAAGAAGGUCAUGGGGUGGGAGUGACCAGAUGAAAUCACUUACAGGUUAUCCACGAGACAAAGCCAAGGAAGCCCUGAUAAAGACAACCUCCACUCACGUCAUAUGACAGACAGAAAAAGCAUAUCUGGGUCUCUGCCCUGCUCAGUAGGAGAAUGAGGACUCUUGAUGGCAAAAGACGGAAACUCAAACCAGUUUGAGAAAAAAAGGGAGACAUUAUUAGAAGGCUUAUAUCCUCAUCUGGGAAGAGCAGAGAUGGCACUGGACAUCACAGACAGCUGGCACCAGGGACUCACAAGCCCCCAGCAUGCUCUUUCUUUUCUCUACCUCUCUCUCUGAGUCAGCGUUACUUCUCCCAAACUGGCUUUGGGAGUGAGCUCUUCCUCACGUGCAGCUUAACCCUCAGACAGAGAUUAGCUCCCUCUCCCCAGUUCCAGUUGCAAAACCCCCGAGGAAUGACUCUGUUGGUCUGACGAGGGCCAGGUGCCUACUCCUACCCCCAGAUAAUGGAGACUUUCCUCAAAGGAGGGGAAACAGAGGCCCCCUCAGUCACCCUAAUUCACAUCUACCACCACGUGUGGCAGGGGGCAAGUUUCUUUAACUUCUCUGAGCCUUGGUUUCUUCAUUGUAAAAUGAAACAUUUGGGGAGGGGCACAAAAAUAACACCUUCUUCAAAGAGCUGUUGAUCAUUUUACAUAGAUAACCAAUGUCAAAGGCCGCUGCAGUGUCUGCUAUAUGCGAAGCAUCAAUAAAUGUUCAUUUUUCUUCCAAGGUGAGUCUUAAAGUCAAGGAAGAAGUCAGCACGCUAAAAUGGAGAGGAAGAUUAUUUGGAGCACAGGGAACCGAAUGGGAAAUGCUGUACAAUUCAGAGUAAGAGGCACUAUAGGAGUUGUUAAAAGGAGGGCAAUUGAACCUUAAAUCAUUCCCACCAUAAAUCACCCAUAAGGUCCAUGUUCUAGAAAAAGGGGG
Equus caballus (horse) is the source of this 2739-nucleotide long non-coding RNA. The record is from Ensembl. NCBI's taxonomy places the organism in Eukaryota, Metazoa, Chordata, Mammalia, Perissodactyla, Equidae.